GGAUUAUUAUUUUGUAAUGGAGGAUCGAGAAUUUAAAGUGACAAUCAUGUAAAUUAACAGAUUGUAAUGGCUGUGAAAGUUUAAAAUCAGUUUUUUUUUUAUACAACUAGGUCGACAAACAAGCUUACAGUUCACCGAUGGUAAGCGAUUACCGUAGCCUAUAAACGCCUGCAACACUAUAAGCAUUGCAACGUGUUGUCGACCCUACGACCAGGAGCUUUAGUCAUCUUACUCACCACAGAAACACAAUACUGCUUGAAAGCAGUAUUAUUUAGCUGUGAUCUUCUUUACGGUUGAGGUACUUCCCCAGUCGGGCUGCUCCAGAUUUUGAGCAGGAUGUUAAUGUGGAAGAACAUAUUCUGUAAUAUCAAUAAGUA
RNAcentral lists this unclassified non-coding RNA (377 nucleotides) under Melitaea cinxia (Glanville fritillary). RNAcentral describes it as "misc RNA ENSMCXG00005008791.1". The record is from RNAcentral. Lineage: Eukaryota; Metazoa; Arthropoda; Insecta; Lepidoptera; Nymphalidae.